This 69-nucleotide transfer RNA is filed under the name Myospalax psilurus. RNAcentral describes it as "tRNA-Ile". It matches the Rfam family "tRNA". From Rfam's summary of the family: Transfer RNA (tRNA) molecules are approximately 80 nucleotides in length. Their secondary structure includes four short double-helical elements and three loops (D, anti-codon, and T loops). Further hydrogen bonds mediate the characteristic L-shaped molecular structure. tRNAs have two regions of fundamental functional importance: the anti-codon, which is responsible for specific mRNA codon recognition, and the 3' end, to which the tRNAs corresponding amino acid is attached (by aminoacyl-tRNA synthetases). tRNAs cope with the degeneracy of the genetic code in two manners: having more than one tRNA (with a specific anti-codon) for a particular amino acid; and 'wobble' base-pairing, i.e. permitting non-standard base-pairing at the 3rd anti-codon position. Lineage: Eukaryota; Metazoa; Chordata; Mammalia; Rodentia; Spalacidae. The record is from RNAcentral.
AGAAACAUGUCUGAAAAUAGAAUUACUUUGAUAGAGUAAAAAAUAGAGGUGCAAGUCCUCUUGUUUCUA